CGCUUAGCGUGGAGCAAUCCGCGCUAAACUAAACUUAUAUUGAACGCAAUAUAACUAAGCGAUGGUUGACAUAAACUAAAUUUUCAACGAUGGAUGUCUAGGUUCCCAUAACGAUGAAGAACGCAGCGAGAAUGCGAUAUGCAAUGUGAAUUGCAGAACUACGAAUCAUUUGAUCUUUGAACGCAAAUGGCGCUGAUUCAUGUCAGCAUACUUGUUUCAGUGUGCCUAACCAAAUAAAGCAAAAUGUAGGAGAUAAAUCUCUUAUCAAAUACAUGCUCCGAGUAGCAGUCGCAACUUUUGUGAGUUACUCUGAGAAAUUUUGUCUUAUUCGCACCUGAAAUCAAGUAAGAUCACCCGCUGGACUUAAGCAUAUUACUAAGCGGAGGAGAAGAAAUUAACUAAGAUUGCCUUAGUAAGGGCGACUGAACCGGCAAAAGCUCGAAAUUAAAAUCGGGAAUCCAAUGGAUUUUCGAAUUGUAAUCAGGGUUGCCUAAAUACGGGAGGCCUCUCAAGAGUCUCGAAAGGCUCGCCAGAGAGGGUGAAAGCCCCGUGCAGGGGUCUCUCGAACAAGGUAAUUCGACGAAGAGUCGUGUUGCUUGGAACUGCAGCACUAAGUGGGAGAUAUGAUUCUUCCAAAGCUAAAUAUUGAUGGGAGACCGAUAGCGAACAAGUACUGUGAAGGAAAGAUGAAAAGGACUUUGAAAAGAGAGUGAAAAGAUCUGAAAUCGUUGAGAAGGAAGCGGUUAUAACUGAUCUGGGUCAUGAUGGCGCAACGCGGGCAAAACUCGUGGCGCGUCUACCAAAACCCUUAACAAAAUCAAUCUCUUCGCGCCAAAAAAGGUGCAAGCCGUGAAGGGUGUGAAGGGAUUGAGGGGCUACGGCGAUUUUGUUUAUAGGUUUUAACCGUCCCGUCUUGAAACACGGACCAAGGAGUCUACCACAUAUGCGAGUGGUGCGAGUGUCAAACUCAUACGCGUAAUGAAAA
This 985-nucleotide ribosomal RNA is filed under the name Dimacrocaryon amphileptoides amphileptoides. RNAcentral describes it as "eukaryotic LSU rRNA". The stretch from base 331 to 985 matches the Rfam family "Eukaryotic large subunit ribosomal RNA", at positions 1 to 725 of the family's 3401-position model. Lineage: Eukaryota; Ciliophora; Litostomatea; Haptorida; Dimacrocaryonidae. The record is from RNAcentral.